Molecule: ribosomal RNA, 371 nt
Filed under: uncultured organism
Description: bacterial SSU rRNA
Rfam family: Bacterial small subunit ribosomal RNA
Source: RNAcentral
CGGAGGGGCAAGCGUUGUUCGGAAUUACUGGGCGUAAAGGGCUCGUAGGCGGCCAACUAGGUCAGACGUGAAAUCCCUCGGCUUAACCGGGGAACUGCGUCUGAUACUGGAUGGCUUGAGUUUGGGAGAGGGAUGCGGAAUUCCAGGUGUAGCGGUGGAAUGCGUAGAUAUCUGGAGGAACACCGGUGGCGAAGGCGGCAUCCUGGACCAACACUGACGCUGAGGAGCGAAAGCCAGGGGAGCAAACGGGAUUAGAUACCCCGGUAGUCCUGGCCCUAAACGAUGAAUGCUUGGUGUGACGGGUAUCGAUCCCUGUCGUGCCGAAGCUAACGCAUUAAGCAUUCCGCCUGGGGAGUACGGUCGCAAGGCUG